AACCCAUGGUUUGGACAUCUCUUGAGGCACACUUUGAAUCUUUCCCAAGCAUCAUAUAAGGUUUCACCAUCAGCUUGUUCGAAAUUACUUAUCUCCGCUCUCCUUUC
Molecule: small nucleolar RNA, 107 nt
Organism: Trifolium pratense (red clover)
Lineage: Eukaryota; Viridiplantae; Streptophyta; Magnoliopsida; Fabales; Fabaceae
Source: RefSeq, a predicted model, not a curated record